AUGGGUAACAUUCAAGGUAAUGAGAAACAACCUAAAACUGGAAAAUCACCUGCAAAAAGUAAACAUUUCAUAAGGAACCUAAACAGAAAAUCACCAGGCAGAGACAGUAAAAAACAUGGGAAGAAAAAGGGUGAUGCAAAACGCGAGACGAUCGAUAGGGAGUUUGAUAAAACGCCAGAUUCCGAUAACAAUGAAGCGAUCGAAACAUCCGAUAACGAUACGGUCGAGUGCGUGUUGUCAACAUCGCGGCGGGAUGCGGAGGGCGAGUCGGCGAGCGUGCACUCCGAGGUAACGGUGACCAGGUGCGAGUCGCGCGCGGGGCCGCGGUCACCGACCCGCGACCACUCCGCCCCGGCUGCCUCGGAGAACGACUCCCCGUCCGAGUCAGUGUUCACGGACCCGCUCACGCCGCUCGCCGUCGAGCUCAACCAGUGCUACUACUCCGCGGAGAGCGACAGCGCGCUCGACGAGCCUCCGCGCACCCUCACGCCCUCGCUGUCGGCGGCCGCCGCGCGCUCCGGCUCGCAGCUCGACAUGCCGCACGACGACGCCGCCUCCUCGCUGUCAACGGAUGACAUGGAAAAAGAAGAAAAAAGCGACGUAUUUGAUGACACUAGUGACAGGGGCGAUGAAAAGGUUAUGGGCGCUAUAAUUUCGGGGUUUCGCGGCGACCACAUAGACCGCAGUGCGCACGAGUGCAGCCAUGACUUCCGCGACAACCGGCUGAAGGCUUGUCCAGGGCAAACGUCGUUUACCCUCUCCAAGCACCGCAAGGUGGAGCUGACUCCCGUCGCCUGUGAAUCUUCGCUCAGUAUGCUUGAUAACGAAAAAGACCGAAGGCACUCGAGUGUCAGCGACAUGCCCAUGGGAGAGUCGAACGUGCUGCGCAAGGUGGCGUCGCUGACGCUGGAUAAGCACGCCGAGAACAGGGUGCUGCGCCCCCGGUUCGUGCCGGAGAAGCUCGACUUCCAACUGUACGAGAAGUUUGAAGGUCAGAUGCUUUUAAAUUGGUUUCUAUCAUCGAUUUCUGAGAAUAAUCACUUGAAAAACUUGUUGAACCCACAAGAUCUGAAAAACCUUGGAAUUCAAUAUUGUACUCACCUAUUAGCAGCUGGAGUUCUGAGGCAGAUUUCAGACAAAGAUGCACCUACCGAAAACAUAUUCAAGCCGAAUCUGAUGUACUACUGGGCACACAUGGAGACACCAGCAUCCCAGCCCGUGACCCCGGGCCGCCUACACAUGGCCGCUUGGCCUCCUGACAAAGAGUUACUACCGCAAAUAACUCAAGAUCAACUUAUCGUAACUAAUCGUUGCAAUGUAGACAAUAAAUUCUUUAAUCAAAAUAAUAAUGAAGAAAUAAGUGACAUCAAUGAAGCAAAAGUAACCAUUUCACAGCUAAAACGAAAACUUCAAGAACUGGAAUUCCAAUUAGAAAAAUAUAAGAUUAAUGCUCAAAUAGAUGCUCUAAAUAAAAAUUUAGGAAAGAGUUUUGACUCACCUUCUCAAGUGGUAGCUAAGACUAAAGUAGAACUAAUGAAUAAAGAAGUACAGACAUCUUAUGAAAUUAAUAAACUCUCCUACAGGCCUGUGAUAAUACCUGACCCACAUUCAAAGUCAAAUGUAAAUAUUGAUAAUGCAGUAGUAGUAAGUAGUUGCCUAAAAGAUAUAGAAUUGAAAACUGAAAAUAGAUCUGAUAAAAUUGAAAACUAUUGUAAGUUAAAUAAAAGUAGAGAUUAUAAUGAAGCUAUUAGAAAACUGGAUGUUCCUAAAAGUUCAGAAGAUAAUGCAAACAGCUCAAGAGAUGUACAGGAUGAUAAUACAAUAGCUGUAAAUAGGAAUAUCAACAAAUGUGCACAUCAUCCUAAUAAUAGUGCGACAUGCAUAAUUUCUUGCUGUUGCUGUUCUUCUGAUGCAUCAUUUCUUAGUGCAUUAACUUCAAGUGAGUCAAUGAGCAACCAAACGGAAUGUGCUUUGGAAUCAGAUGAACUGGCAUUGAAAAAUAACACUGAUUUGAAAAACACCCCUAUCACUGAAAUGUUAUUUACAAGUAUUAAGAAGAAUGUUACUUUGGAAACUAGUCAAUAUUCAGCAAUUAAUACGUCCAGUGCACCAUCAUCAGAAAUAAAAGAUGGAAAUUCUUAUUCUAAAUUGGAACAGAACAUUCCAGAAGAAGACAGUAGUAUUCAUCUAGCUAGUCUAUCCCCACCAACAUCUAGUAUUUCUACAAGUGAGACGCCGUCAGUAUUAAUUUGCCCAAAGCCACCGUCUUCCACUAGUCAACCCUCGACGCAGCCGCCUCCGCCGCUGCCGGGCGCGGCGCCGUCCCCGCCGCCCACGCCAGGGACGAAGGAAGCCACAGCGGCUACUUCAGCGCCGUCAUUGUCUGAAUUAGUUUUGUCUGAACAUGAACAACCACAUACACCUGAUGUACCAACUGGCACAUCAGCGCCAGAAAUGUCUACUGCCCCACCGCCAAUUCCUCCACCACCAUCAGCUGAAUUAUUAAUACCUUCAUCUCCAGUGGCUGGACUAGGUCCACCCCCACCUCCAAUGCCAGAUUUGGGACCCCCACCCCCAAUGCCAGAUAUGGGGCCACCUCCACCCCCUAUGCCUGAUAUGGGACCUCCUCCUCCGCCAAUGCCUGAAAUGGGGUUACAUCCUCCCCCAAUGCCAGGAAUGGGACCUCCCCCUCCCCCUAUGCCUGGAAUGGGUCCUCCCCCUCCCCCUAUGCCUGGAAUGGGACCACCUCCUCCUCCAAUGCCUGGUAUGGGUCCUCCACCUCCUCCAAUGCCUGGAAUGGGGCCUCCCCCACCGCCAAUGCCUGGAAUGGGGCCUCCCCCACCGCCAAUGCCUGGAAUGGGGCCUCCCCCACCGCCAAUGCCUGGAAUGCCGGGAGCAAGCCCCCUGCCGCCGCCUAUGCCAGGGAUGGGCCCCCCACCACCGCCGCCGAUAUCAGGCCCGCCGCCGCCGCCGGGUCAAAUGCCGUACUCAGGACCAGUGCCGUUCCCCGCCCCGCCUGUUGGUGGUUGGAGCAUGCAACGAUCGACUCUAAGAAAAACACCUGUGAAACCUGCUGCGCCUAUGAAGCCGUUAUAUUGGACACGAAUUCUAGCAAAUCAAGUAGCGCCUCCUUGCCAGGGCGAAUCAGAUUCUGUACUUUUAAAACCUCUGUGGCUUGAAAUCGAAGAAACGAACUUGGACAACAUCGAAGAGUUUACAGAUCUGUUUUCGCGGCAAGUUGUAAAAGCACCGGUUAAGAAGAAAGUUGAAGUUAAAACUAAGAUUCAACCAGUGAAGAUAUUAGAUAGUAAAAGGUCCCAAAACGUUGGUAUUCUUGCUCAAAGCUUGCACGUCGAGUUUUCGGAAAUAGAAAAUGCUAUUUAUAAUUUUGAUACGUCUGUCGUAAGUUUAGAAGCUCUACAGCAAAUAUAUGAGUUGCGUGCUACCGACGAGGAAUUGGCUAUGAUAAAAGAACACUUGAAGAGCAAAUCCGAUGUACCACUAGAUAGACCAGAGGCGUUCUUACACGACUUAUCUGGGAUCCCCAAUUUUGCGGAGAGGAUAUCAUGCUUCAUGUUCCAAGCCGAUUUCGAGGAUGCUGCCAGCACAACAAUGCACAAGUUAGACAAUUUGAAACACACGUGUGAGUUUCUAAUGACCAGUGAAUCUCUAAAGAAAUUAUUUGCUAUUAUAUUAACACUCGGUAAUUAUAUGAAUGGUGGAAAUGGGCAAAGAGGACAAGCUGAUGGCUUUGGGUUGGAGAUUCUUUCAAAACUGAAAGAUGUAAAGUCGAAGCAGUCGAACGUGACUCUGCUGCACUUCAUCGUGCGCACUUAUAUGCGCGCGUGCGGCGGCGCGCUGGCGGCCGCGUGCGCGCUGCCCGUGCCCGAGCCCGGCGACGUGGCGCGCGCCGCCGCGCUCGACUUCCAGGACGUCGCCGCCGGCCUGGCCGCGCUCACGCACAACUUGGAAGCUUGCAAGGAAAAAACCAAGAAAAUCCUUGACUCAGGUGCGCAUUUAGAGGAGUCUCCUUCGGGCGAAGGACCAAAGAGGCUCGAAGUGUUCAGAGAAAAAAUGUCUACUUUCUUAAAUGCAGCCGAAGAAAAACUUAAGACUGAAUACGAAAACUUAGAAGAUUGUCGUAGUAAAUUUAUAGCAACGAUAAAAUUUUACCAGUACACCCCAAAAUGUGGCAAAGUUGAAGACUGUGAGCCUAAGGAAUUCUUCAGUCUGUGGACAUCAUUUUGCAGUGACUUCAAAGAUAUUUAUAAAAAGGAAGAACAGAUUGCUAUAAAAGAAAAGUUAAAAGAAGCCAAAAAAAUGCAAGAGGAACGAAAAUCAUUAACCCAGCCGAAAAAAGAAGGAGGCCUAAAAGCACGACUGCAGAAGUUAUCAAGUACCAGAAAAUAAUUAUAUUCUCUGCCAUUGCUUAAGCACAAACAAUUCAAACAUUUGCCAUUUAAUUUAAAUAUUUUUAUAAUAUUUAUCGGUAAUUAUAAGUUAUGUUUAUUCUCUAGACUGCAAUCUAAGAUUAAGCGUUACAAUUGCCACCACUUUUAAUAUUGGUACAUUGAUAGUUUACAAAAUACAUCUAAACAAAAUUGGCACCUGUUUCAAACAGAACCCAACUGAGCUUAAAAUUAGAUUGAAGUCUAGAGAUGAUGUGCAGUACAUUAAUAUUAAUUAAUUUAACUUAUAAAGUGCAUUUCAGUGAUCAACGAAAAUUAAAUACAUUCCAUUUAAAAAUACUGUAUUGUGGUUUAUGCAUCUUUUGUGAAUUAAUGUCGAUUUCAGUUACAAGAAUGCUUUGUUUUUUUAAACUUGCAUAAUGUUAAAAGAAUGUUUAACAAAGCCAAUAAAUAGGCAUAUAAUUAAACUUGAACUAUUUCGCUUUUCUCAUAUAAUCUGGUUAAUAAAAUCAAUUUUGAUAUACCCAAUUGAACAAAUUAUGUUAUUGUUAGAGUUCAAUUUCAUUAAGUUGAAAGUAUUAACCGAAAAGAAUAUGUAACAACAAACCUGUUUUUUGUGUAUUCAACAUUAUUUAACCCAAUUGAGAUUUAUUAUAAAAACACAAUUUUUGGAGAAAAAAAUAAUAUUAUAAAAGUUAAUGGUGCAUGCAGCUUAAUGCACACUCGGCCGAUAGCAAUGUACCAUUUACGUCGUUUUUAAAAUAAAAAACAAUUUCUGCAAUCAUUAAUUUUAUGUAUUAAAAUUAAUUAUCUUAAAUCAUUAGUAAAUUACAUUUUCCCUGCUCAAUCAACUUAUGCGUUAUUUCAAUUACACAUUGUAUAAAAUAUAUUUUAUCUUCAUAAUGAAACUAAGAUUAUGCAAAUUACUACUGUAGGUAAAGCUAGAACAUUGAAGUAUAUCAAUAUGAAUAUGUGUGCAGUUCACAUUCAGCUGAUGUUUAAUAUUUGAGUACAUAUUAACUAAUAUUCUCAGCUGAACAUUUAACAAUAAUUGGCUUUAACUUCAACAGUUUUUAUGGCCAAAGCUAAUUUUAAAAAUUAUCACCUAUAACUAAGACCUAAACACGCUUGUUUAUUAUCUUUUAUUUAGGGCAUAUAAAAACAAAAAUAUUAUGAAUAAUUUAUUGUACCUGAUCUAUCUAUGUAUAAAAUCAACAUAUGAUUUUAGGAUAUC
Molecule: RNA transcript, 5643 nt
Organism: Ostrinia furnacalis (Asian corn borer)
Lineage: Eukaryota; Metazoa; Arthropoda; Insecta; Lepidoptera; Crambidae
Gene: capu
Gene name: formin protein cappuccino
Exons: 11
Source: RefSeq, a predicted model, not a curated record